Molecule: non-coding RNA, 120 nt
Organism: Pseudomonas rhizosphaerae
Lineage: Bacteria; Pseudomonadati; Pseudomonadota; Gammaproteobacteria; Pseudomonadales; Pseudomonadaceae
Source: Rfam
AAACUUCUAUUUUGGGUAUUGGUUUAGCCACUGGCGCGCCUGAUACCCAUCUCGGCGCCCAUUUCGUAGGGGUCGCCUGACAGAGAAUUCUCAACCCCCGGUCGGCUCCCCGACCGGGGG